CGCUGAGUUUGAUCCUGGCUCAGGAUGAACGCUAGCGGCAGGCUUAACACAUGCAAGUCGAGGGGUAUAGUUCUUCGGAACUAGAGACCGGCGCACGGGUGCGUAACGCGUAUGCAAUCUACCUUUUACAGAGGGAUAGCCCAGAGAAAUUUGGAUUAAUACCUCAUAGUAUGUGAGAAUCGCAUGGUUUUUCACAUUAAAGUUCCAACGGUAAAGAUGAGCAUGCGUCCAUUACGCUAGAUGGUAUGGUAACGGC
RNAcentral lists this ribosomal RNA (256 nucleotides) under uncultured Flavobacterium sp. RNAcentral describes it as "partial 16S ribosomal RNA". It matches the Rfam family "Bacterial small subunit ribosomal RNA", at positions 1 to 264 of the family's 1533-position model. Lineage: Bacteria; Pseudomonadati; Bacteroidota; Flavobacteriia; Flavobacteriales; Flavobacteriaceae. The record is from RNAcentral.